This is a long non-coding RNA of Nasonia vitripennis (jewel wasp), 594 nucleotides long. RefSeq lists it as uncharacterized. The transcript is spliced from 2 exons. NCBI's taxonomy places the organism in Eukaryota, Metazoa, Arthropoda, Insecta, Hymenoptera, Pteromalidae. The record is from RefSeq and is a predicted model, not a curated record.
GGCGUUCGUAAAUGUGGAAAUAAAAGACGAUUGCCUUUUUACGGCGUGGAUACGUUCAAUUUGUCUGAUCUUUCAACCGAAAAGUCACGAUUCUUCAAAAUUAUAAGCACGUAAUUGAAAAUUCCAACGAUGAACAGAACAGAGGAACGUCAGUUCGAUUAUCCCGAUUACGUCGCGUGGAUUUAUAUAACCUACGCAGUGCUUUACUUUAUUGUGUUGAUCUUCGAUUUUUUUGGGAAGAUUAGCGAAACUUUUUCGACAAAUACGCAGAAGUUUCACACAUUCAAGAAAUUUAUAUGUUCCUAUUGAUUAUUGGAGUUCGACAGAGCGAUAAAUUUUCUCGUCCAUGCAAGUAAACAAAUUGAAUGCUUUGUGAGAAUACUUACCCCUCUGCGGAACGUGUGCGGCAGGCGAAGAGGACUCGAGUUCAAUGUCACCACGAUUUUUCACAAAAUUCCAGUCGUCUCUCAAUUUCCUCAAUUUUUCCUGCAAUAGUAAAAUAUGAUUUAACAACCUCUAGUUUGUAAUACUCUUAUUUGUAAUACUUUCACUCGUCGAAUAAAUAUACUAUGCGAAUGAACAAUUUCAAAAAAA